UGGGGAAUAUUGGACAAUGGGGGAAACCCUGAUCCAGCAAUGCCGCGUGUGUGAAGAAGGCCUGCGGGUUGUAAAGCACUUUCGGCGGGAAAGAAAAGUCGUGCGCCAAUACCGCGCGACCUUGACGUUACCCGCAAAAGAAGCACCGGCUAACUCCGUGCCAGCAGCCGCGGUAAUACGGAGGGUGCAAGCGUUAAUCGGAAUUACUGGGCGUAAAGAGCACGUAGGCGGGCGGCUAAGUCGGAUGUGAAAUCCCUGGGCUUAACCUGGGAACUGCAUCCGAUACUGGUUGCCUAGAGUAUGGAAGAGGGAAGCGGAAUUCCAGGUGUAGCGGUGAAAUGCGUAGAUAUCUGGAGGAACAUCAGUGGCGAAGGCGGCUUCCUGGUCCAAUACUGACGCUGA
Molecule: ribosomal RNA, 402 nt
Filed under: uncultured bacterium
Lineage: Bacteria
Description: bacterial SSU rRNA
Rfam family: Bacterial small subunit ribosomal RNA
Source: RNAcentral